RNAcentral lists this ribosomal RNA (379 nucleotides) under uncultured bacterium. Its description in RNAcentral is "bacterial SSU rRNA". It matches the Rfam family "Bacterial small subunit ribosomal RNA", at positions 29 to 435 of the family's 1533-position model. The record is from RNAcentral.
AGCGAACGCUGGCGGCAGGCUUAACACAUGCAAGUCGAGCGGGCCCUUCGGGGUCAGCGGCAGACGGGUGAGUAACACGUGGGAACGUACCCUUUGGUUCGGAAUAACGCUGGGAAACUAGCGCUAAUACCGGAUACGCCCUUUUGGGGAAAGGCUUGCUGCCGAAGGAUCGGCCCGCGUCUGAUUAGCUAGUUGGUGGGGUAAUGGCCUACCAAGGCGACGAUCAGUAGCUGGUCUGAGAGGAUGAUCAGCCACACUGGGACUGAGACACGGCCCAGACUCCUACGGGAGGCAGCAGUGGGGAAUAUUGGACAAUGGGCGCAAGCCUGAUCCAGCCAUGCCGCGUGAGUGAUGAAGGCCUUAGGGUUGUAAAGCUCUU